GUUUUUAAAUUUUUAAAUAGAAUGUUUGUAGUGUUGACACCUGACAUUUUUGCUUUUGUUAUUAGAUAUAGAUAGAUUCAACAACCAAAAACAACGACAAAAUCAUCACCAGCAACAAUCAGCCUCUUCAACAGCAAUCAGCAAUACAACAAACAACCGACAUAUUUCAACGAAAACCCGAUCCACCAAAUACCAAUGUAUAACCAACAACAAUUUCAAUGCAAAAUCAGACCCGACCCGCGACCCGAUCCACCCUUAUUUCCCCUUACCUGAUCCAGCGACAUUAGCAAACAACAGACUCCAGCGAUGCCCAGCAAUAACUUUCAACGACAACAGCUGCAACAACAACGACCCCACACCAGCAACACAGGGAAAGAGAAGAGAGAAGGAUUUUGGGGGAAAAUUUAAGAGUUCUGGAGGUGCAUGCCUCUAACUUCACACGACCAAAAUCCUGACGGAAAACUAAACUCCGGCAAAGUCACUAUAAUUUCGAAGAUUGGAACUGAGUUUUGCCGGUGAUGGAAGUUUGUCAUCAAGGCUUGUUGUCCUAAGUUCGCUGCUCCGGAAAAGUUCAUUUGAACUCCAUUUAUCCUCGCAUUCAAACUCCGUCGUGUCCAAGCCUUAAUUAAAGUCCCGAAAAUGAUCUGAGAGACAAGAAACAAAGCUGUAUACACGUGGAUACAACAGAUAUACGGUGAAUAUAUGACCAAUAUAUGGUCAUGUAUACACUAUAUAUACAAAAAACGUGAAGAAAAGGAGCUGUGAUAUACAGCUGAUUUACACAGAUGAAAGAGGGUUGACAAAGGGCCAUUUAAAUAGGCCCAAAACCAAUGUUGUCCAGAUUUGAAAAUGGGCUAAUUAAGGACCCAAUUUUAAUUCUUGUAUUCAUUUUUUGUAGCUUAUAUUGUUUGUUUGUAUUAACUAAUACUUUAAAUCAAUUAAUCUAAGAUAAAUUCUCUAA
Molecule: long non-coding RNA, 961 nt
Organism: Capsicum annuum
Lineage: Eukaryota; Viridiplantae; Streptophyta; Magnoliopsida; Solanales; Solanaceae
Exons: 3
Source: RefSeq, a predicted model, not a curated record